Molecule: ribosomal RNA, 261 nt
Filed under: uncultured bacterium
Lineage: Bacteria
Description: partial 16S ribosomal RNA
Rfam family: Bacterial small subunit ribosomal RNA
Source: RNAcentral
CCUACGGGAGGCAGCAGUGGGGAAUAUUGGGCAAUGGGCGCAAGCCUGACCCAGCAACGCCGCGUGAAGGAAGAAGGCUUUCGGGUUGUAAACUUCUAUUGUCAGGGACGAAGCAAGUGACGGUACCUGACGAAUAAGCCACGGCUAACUACGUGCCAGCAGCCGCGGUAAUACGUAGGUGGCAAGCGUUAUCCGGAUUUACUGGGUGUAAAGGGCGCGCAGGCGGGGAGGCAAGUCAGAUGUGAAACCCCCGGGCUCAAC